Molecule: long non-coding RNA, 216 nt
Filed under: Nicotiana benthamiana
Lineage: Eukaryota; Viridiplantae; Streptophyta; Magnoliopsida; Solanales; Solanaceae
Description: long non-coding RNA (NBEN_LNC011619)
Source: RNAcentral
UCUGCGAUUCGCUUUUGUCAUACUUAUGCAAGGAUAUCGGGGUGGAGAUAUGGUGUGGGCUAUAUUAUUUUUCGUUGCCUUAUUAUCCAGAAAAGGCAUUAGUUAACCUAAAGUUAGUCCCUCCGUCUGUCGGGGUCGUCCUCGGUCAGGCUCGGCAGACGGAUCAUGAUCGUUACAAUGUCAAGAGAAAUCUGACUUACAAUUCUUUGUUCCUUA